CGGGUGAGUAACGCGUGGGGAACCUGCCUCAUACAGGGGAAUAACAGAUGGAAACGUCUGCUAAUGCCGCAUAAGCGCACACUGUGGCAUCACAGAGUGUGAAAAACUCCGGUGGUAUGAGAUGGCCCCGCGUCUGAUUAGGCAGUUGGCGGGGUAACGGCCCACCAAACCGACGAUCAGUAGCCGACCUGAGAGGGUGACCGGCCACAUUGGGACUGAGACACGGCCCAAACUCCUACGGGAGGCAGCAG
Molecule: ribosomal RNA, 251 nt
Filed under: uncultured bacterium
Lineage: Bacteria
Description: partial 16S ribosomal RNA
Rfam family: Bacterial small subunit ribosomal RNA
Source: RNAcentral